GGGGUUGUAGCUUAGUGGUAGAGCACUUGCCUUGCAUGCAUGAGGCACUGGGUUCAAUCCUCAGCACCA
RNAcentral lists this transfer RNA (69 nucleotides) under Marmota marmota marmota (Alpine marmot). It matches the Rfam family "tRNA". Rfam says of the family: Transfer RNA (tRNA) molecules are approximately 80 nucleotides in length. Their secondary structure includes four short double-helical elements and three loops (D, anti-codon, and T loops). Lineage: Eukaryota; Metazoa; Chordata; Mammalia; Rodentia; Sciuridae. RNAcentral also lists the same sequence under 2 other names. The record is from Rfam by way of RNAcentral.